Molecule: ribosomal RNA, 19 nt
Filed under: 'Aporospora terricola' (nom. ined.)
Lineage: Eukaryota; Fungi; Ascomycota
Description: Aporospora terricola partial 28S ribosomal RNA
Source: RNAcentral
UUGACCUCGGAUCAGAGGA